GACGAACGCUGGCGGCGUGCUUAACACAUGCAAGUCGAACGGGAAGGCCCUGCUUUUGUGGGGUGCUCGAGUGGCGAACGGGUGAGUAACACGUGAGUAACCUGCCCUUGACUUUGGGAUAACUUCAGGAAACUGGGGCUAAUACCGGAUAGGAGCUCCUGCUGCAUGGUGGGGGUUGGAAAGUUUCGGCGGUUGGGGAUGGACUCGCGGCUUAUCAGCUUGUUGGUGGGGUAGUGGCUUACCAAGGCUUUGACGGGUAGCCGGCCUGAGAGGGUGACCGACCACAUUGGGACUGAGAUACGGCCCAGACUCCUACGGGAGGCAGCAGUGGGGAAUAUUGCACAAUGGGCGGAAGCCUGAUGCAGCAACGCCGCGUGCGGGAUGACGGCCUUCGGGUUGUAAACCGCUUUCGCCUGUGACGAAGCGUGAGUGACGGUAAUGGGUAAAGAAGCACCGGCUAACUACGUG
RNAcentral lists this ribosomal RNA (468 nucleotides) under uncultured bacterium. Its description in RNAcentral is "partial 16S ribosomal RNA". It matches the Rfam family "Bacterial small subunit ribosomal RNA", at positions 28 to 507 of the family's 1533-position model. The record is from RNAcentral.